Long non-coding RNA from Neltuma alba, 162 nucleotides. RefSeq lists it as uncharacterized. The transcript has 3 exons. NCBI's taxonomy places the organism in Eukaryota, Viridiplantae, Streptophyta, Magnoliopsida, Fabales, Fabaceae. The record is from RefSeq and is a predicted model, not a curated record.
GAAGAUAUGUUAAUCCCUCUCUCAACUCAAGACAUAGCUACUGGGACUCAUGUGAUGCAAGAGAGUAUUGAUAAACCCUUCGUUCAAGCUACACAAAAUGCAUGGGACAUUACCAUAAGACAAGAGAAAGAAGAAUCACACCACUCAAAUAUUUACCUUAGU